RNAcentral lists this ribosomal RNA (447 nucleotides) under uncultured bacterium. Its description in RNAcentral is "partial 16S ribosomal RNA". It matches the Rfam family "Bacterial small subunit ribosomal RNA", at positions 330 to 793 of the family's 1533-position model. The record is from RNAcentral.
CCCAGACUCCUACGGGAGGCAGCAGUGGGGGAUAUUGCACAAUGGGGGGAACCCUGAUGCAGCGACGCCGCGUGGGUGAAGGAGCGUUUCGGCGCGUAAAGCCCUCUCGGCAGGGAAGAAGGAGGACGGUACCUGACUAAGAAGCCCCGGCUAACUACGUGCCAGCAGCCGCGGUAAUACGUAGGGGGCAAGCGUUAUCCGGAUUUACUGGGUGUAAAGGGGGCGCAGACGGCAGCGCAAGCCAGGAGUGAAAGCCCGGGGCCCAACCCCGGGACUGCUCUUGGAACUGCGCGGCUGGAGUGCAGGAGGGGCAGGCGGAAUUCCUGGUGUAGCGGUGAAAUGCGUAGAGAUCGGGAGGAACACCAGUGGCGAAGGCGGCCUGCUGGGCUCUAACUGACGCUGAGGCACGAAAGCGUGGGUAGCAAACAGGAUUAGAUACCCUUGUAA